UAAGGAAUAUUGCUCAAUGGGAGAAAUCCUGAAGCAGCAACGCCGCGUGGAGGAUGAAGGGUCUAUGACUUGUAAACUCCUGUAAAGAAGGAAAAAAUUCCCAUUAGAUGGGAGAUGAUGGUACUUCUGGAGUAAGCCCCGGCUAACUACGUGCCAGCAGCCGCGGUAAUACGUAGGGGGCAAGCGUUGUCCGGAUUUACUGGGUGUAACGGGUGCUCAGGCGGAUUUGUAAGUCAGAGGUGAAAUCUUACAGCUUAACUGUGAAACUGCCUGUGAUACUGCAAGCCUAGAGUAUGGAAGAGAGUGAUGGAAUAUCUGGUGUAACAUUGAAAUUCGUAGAUAUCAGAUAGAACACCAAUGGCGAAGGCAGUCACUUGGUCCAUUACUGACGCUAAAGCACGAAAGCGUGGGUAGCAAACA
RNAcentral lists this ribosomal RNA (420 nucleotides) under uncultured bacterium. Its description in RNAcentral is "bacterial SSU rRNA". It matches the Rfam family "Bacterial small subunit ribosomal RNA", at positions 355 to 774 of the family's 1533-position model. The record is from RNAcentral.